This 1188-nucleotide ribosomal RNA is filed under the name Heyndrickxia acidicola. RNAcentral describes it as "bacterial SSU rRNA". It matches the Rfam family "Bacterial small subunit ribosomal RNA", at positions 136 to 1308 of the family's 1533-position model. The record is from RNAcentral. Lineage: Bacteria; Bacillati; Bacillota; Bacilli; Caryophanales; Bacillaceae.
GACUGGGAUAACUCCGGGAAACCGGGGCUAAUACCGGAUAACUUCUUCCUCCGCAUGGGGGRAUAUUGAAAGAUGGCUUCGGCUAUCACUUACAGAUGGACCCGCGGCGCAUUAGCUAGUUGGUGAGGUAACGGCUCACCAAGGCAACGAUGCGUAGCCGACCUGAGAGGGUGAUCGGCCACACUGGGACUGAGACACGGCCCAGACUCCUACGGGAGGCAGCAGUAGGGAAUCUUCCGCAAUGGACGAAAGUCUGACGGAGCAACGCCGCGUGAGUGAUGAAGGUUUUCGGAUCGUAAAACUCUGUUGUUAGGGAAGAACAAGUACCGUUCGAAUAGGGCGGUACCUUGACGGUACCUAACCAGAAAGCCACGGCUAACUACGUGCCAGCAGCCGCGGUAAUACGUAGGUGGCAAGCGUUGUCCGGAAUUAUUGGGCGUAAAGCGCGCGCAGGCGGUUUCUUAAGUCUGAUGUGAAAGCCCACGGCUCAACCGUGGAGGGUCAUUGGAAACUGGGAGACUUGAGUGCAGAAGAGGAGAGUGGAAUUCCACGUGUAGCGGUGAAAUGCGUAGAUAUGUGGAGGAACACCAGUGGCGAAGGCGACUCUCUGGUCUGUAACUGACGCUGAGGCGCGAAAGCGUGGGGAGCGAACAGGAUUAGAUACCCUGGUAGUCCACGCCGUAAACGAUGAGUGCUAAGUGUUAGAGGGUUUCCGCCCUUUAGUGCUGCAGCUAACGCAUUAAGCACUCCGCCUGGGGAGUACGGCCGCAAGGCUGAAACUCAAAGGAAUUGACGGGGGCCCGCACAAGCGGUGGAGCAUGUGGUUUAAUUCGAAGCAACGCGAAGAACCUUACCAGGUCUUGACAUCCUCUGACAACCCUAGAGAUAGGGCUUUCCCCUUCGGGGGACAGAGUGACAGGUGGUGCAUGGUUGUCGUCAGCUCGUGUCGUGAGAUGUUGGGUUAAGUCCCGCAACGAGCGCAACCCUUGACCUUAGUUGCCAGCAUUCAGUUGGGCACUCUAGGGUGACUGCCGGUGACAAACCGGAGGAAGGUGGGGAUGACGUCAAAUCAUCAUGCCCCUUAUGACCUGGGCUACACACGUGCUACAAUGGAUGGUACAAAGGGCUGCAAGACCGCGAGGUUUAGCCAAUCCCAUAAAACCAUUCUCAGUUCGGAUUGUAGGCUGC